UACGGGGGGAGCAAGCGUUGUUCGGAAUUACUGGGCGUAAAGGGCUCGUAGGCGGCCAACUAAGUCAGACGUGAAAUCCCUCGGCUUAACCGGGGAACUGCGUCUGAUACUGGAUGGCUAGAGGUUGGGAGAGGGAUGCGGAAUUCCAGGUGUAGCGGUGAAAUGCGUAGAUAUCGGGAGGAACACCAGUGGCGAAGGCGGCUUCCUGGCCUGUUCUUGACGCUGAGGCGCGAAAGCUAGGGGAGCAAACGGG
RNAcentral lists this ribosomal RNA (253 nucleotides) under uncultured bacterium. Its description in RNAcentral is "partial 16S ribosomal RNA". It matches the Rfam family "Bacterial small subunit ribosomal RNA", at positions 524 to 776 of the family's 1533-position model. The record is from RNAcentral.